CCCAGCGCUUCGCGUACCAGGAAGGGGACGGCGUCCUGAAAGGGACAUUUGAAAAACGGAGGCAACGCGUCUAUUAAUUGGGUGGCGGCGCCUGGGGUCGCAGCACUCCAGAGGCCGAGAGUCUCGCCCUUUUGCCUAGUGGAGGAGCUCGGCUCACUGCAAGCUCCGCGCAACAACCCCCCUGCCGCCCCAGGUUCAAGAGAUUCUCCUGCCUCAGUCUCCCGAGUAGACUGGGAUUACAGGCGAGUGCCACCAUGCCCGGCUAAUUUUUGUAUUUUUGGUAGAGACGGGGUUUUACUAUGUUGGCCAGGCUGAUCUCGAACUCCUGACCUCAAGUGAUCCGCCUGCCUUGGCCUCCCGAAGUGCUGGGAUUACAGGCGUGAGCCACAACGUUGGGCCAGGUAUUGUAUUUCUAUGUUAUUAUUAUUUUUUGUAUUUCUAUGUCAUACAGGCUUGUAUUUCUGUUAAAAACAAGUCCUUAUCUCUUUGAGAUACAUACUGAAGUUUUUACAGGUGAAAUAAUUUGGCCAGGAGUAAUGGUUCAUGUCUGUAAUUCCCACCACUUUGGGAGGUCCAGGUCAGGGUCGGGGGGUUGCUUGAGGCCAGGAGUUUGAGAUAAGAUUGGUCAACUACAACACAUAAAAAAUAGCCAUGCAUGGUGGUGGGCACCUUUAGUCUCGAUACUUGGGAGGCUGAGGCAGGAGGAUCACUUGAGCCCAGGAGUUUGAGGCUGCAGUGCGCUACGAUCAUGCUACAGCACCCCAGCCUGGGCAACAGAUUCUAGGACAAGGAGACUGGCUUUCACAGAGGUUGGGUUGGGUUCAGUUUUCUUCAGAAGAACUUCAGAAUGCACUACAACAGGAAAAUCAUAUUCUAGAUGGAGUCAAGUCAAUCUGUUUGUAUACCAGAUACAUCUAUGAUAUACAUGCAGCUACUAUCUGAUUAUGUAUCAAUUAAAUAGAUCAUAAAUGUGGAACGAUGGGGACUUUGAGAGAUUUGUAACUGAAGCUGCCUUCAUGCUCGUUAGAAUGGUGGGGUGGAAGAGUUCCCAGUUUUAAAGGAGAAGAAGUACAAGAAGACCUGUAAUUGUUAGCAAGAUAUAUAGAACACAGUGCACAUAGCAGCACACUUCUCAAGUCAGCUCCAGGUUCAAGCUCAAAGGCCUAAAGUUUUGCAAACAUCUGGUGAAGAGGAAGAUUUUUGAGACUCUCCCAGCCUAUUACAUAAAGGAAAUAUAACCGAGAAUUUUGUCUAAAGGUUUUCAUUUGAAACAAAGCCACAUUAAAUUAAUGUGGCUUUUCCCCACUCCAAAUUAAAACACAGCGCAACAGGGGCCACAUUUAUUGGGCAGGACAGUUCCAAUAUGUGAACAUCCUCCUCCUCACUGCCGUUGGGGUGACUUGACUCAUAAGCAGGUGUUCUUACACAAAAUGUUAACCCGAAUUGCUAGUGUCACACAAAAGGAAGUGGUCUUGAUUGUGUAUGUGGGCCAGCAUGUUCUACACAUGCUGAAAGGUGGGAGAAGCACAAAUACAACCCACUCUUUAAAAAAACUAAAUAAUUCAAAGUAAAAUUUUCUAUCCCCGCCCCCUCCCCACCCUUGCCUUCUCCAAUAAUAAAAAGUAGAAUCCAG
Molecule: non-coding RNA, 1633 nt
Filed under: Pan troglodytes (chimpanzee)
Lineage: Eukaryota; Metazoa; Chordata; Mammalia; Primates; Hominidae
Source: RNAcentral